This 467-nucleotide ribosomal RNA is filed under the name uncultured bacterium. Its description in RNAcentral is "partial 16S ribosomal RNA". It matches the Rfam family "Bacterial small subunit ribosomal RNA", at positions 29 to 507 of the family's 1533-position model. The record is from RNAcentral.
ACGAACGCUGGCGGCGUGCUUAACACAUGCCAGUCGAACGGUGAAGCUCCAGCUUGCUGGAGUGGAUCAGUGGCGAACGGGUGAGUAACACGUGAGCAACCUGCCCCUGACUCUGGAAUAAGCGCUGGAAACGGCGUCUAAUACUGGAUACGAGAAGGGUCCGCAUGGGCACUUUCUGGAAAGUUUUUCGGUUGGGGAUGGGCUCGCGGCCUAUCAGCUUGUUGGUGAGGUAAUGGCUCACCAAGGCGACGACGGGUAGCCGGCCUGAGAGGGCGACCGGCCACACUGGGACUGAGACACGGCCCAGACUCCUACGGGAGGCAGCAGUGGGGAAUAUUGCACAAUGGGCGAAAGCCUGAUGCAGCGACGCCGCGUGAGGGAUGACGGCCUUCGGGUUGUAAACCUCUUUCAGCAGGGAAGAAGCGAAAGUGACGGUACCUGCAGAAGAAGCACCGGCUAACUACGUG